This 548-nucleotide ribosomal RNA is filed under the name uncultured Glomeromycotina. RNAcentral's name for it is "SSU rRNA". It matches the Rfam family "Eukaryotic small subunit ribosomal RNA", at positions 548 to 1098 of the family's 1831-position model. Lineage: Eukaryota; Fungi; Glomeromycota. The record is from RNAcentral.
UUGGAGGGCAAGUCUGGUGCCAGCAGCCGCGGUAAUUCCAGCUCCAAUAGCGUAUAUUAAAGUUGUUGCAGUUAAAAAGCUCGUAGUUGAAUUUCGGGAUCAAUAUAUCGGUCGUGCCUUGGUACGUACUGGUAUCAUUGGUUUCUCCUUUCUGACGAACCAAGAUGUCAUUAAUUUGGUGUUAUGGGAAGUUAGGACUGUUACUUUGAAAAAAUUAGAGUGUUUAAAGCAGGCUUUAGCUUGAAUACAUUAGCAUGGAAUAAUGAAAUAGGACGUUCGAACCUAUUUUGUUGGUUUCUAGGACCAACGUAAUGAUUAAUAGGGAUAGUUGGGGGCAUUAGUAUUCAAUUGUCAGAGGUGAAAUUCUUGGAUUUAUUGAAGACUAACUACUGCGAAAGCAUUUGCCAAGGAUGUUUUCAUUAAUCAAGAACGAAAGUUAGGGGAUCGAAGACGAUCAGAUACCGUCGUAGUCUUAACCAUAAACUAUGCCGACUAGGGAUCGGAUGAUGUUAAUUUUUUAAUGACUCAUUCGGCGCCUUACGGGAAAC